GACGAACGCUGGCGGCGUGCUUAACACAUGCAAGUCGAACGGAAAGGCCCUGCUUGCAGGGUACUCGAGUGGCGAACGGGUGAGUAACACGUGGGUGAUCUGCCCUGCACUUCGGGAUAAGCCUGGGAAACGGGGUCUAAUACCGGAUAGGAGCCAUUUUUAGUGGGAUGGUUGGAAAGUUUUUUCGGUGUAGGAUGAGCUCGCGGCCUAUCAGCUUGUUGGUGGGGUAAUGGCCUACCAAGGCGGCGACGGGUAGCCGGCCUGAGAGGGUGGACGGCCACAUUGGGACUGAGAUACGGCCCAGACUCCUACGGGAGGCAGCAGUGGGGAAUAUUGCACAAUGGGCGCAAGCCUGAUGCAGCGACGCCGCGUGGGGGAUGACGGCCUUCGGGUUGUAAACUCCUUUCGCUAGGGACGAAGCUUUUGUGACGGUACCUAGAUAAGAAGCACCGGCUAACUACGUG
RNAcentral lists this ribosomal RNA (464 nucleotides) under uncultured bacterium. Its description in RNAcentral is "partial 16S ribosomal RNA". It matches the Rfam family "Bacterial small subunit ribosomal RNA", at positions 28 to 507 of the family's 1533-position model. The record is from RNAcentral.